Molecule: long non-coding RNA, 254 nt
Organism: Octopus sinensis (East Asian common octopus)
Lineage: Eukaryota; Metazoa; Mollusca; Cephalopoda; Octopoda; Octopodidae
Exons: 2
Source: RefSeq, a predicted model, not a curated record
AAUUGUUACUGAUAAUGGUAAUUUUGUCCUUGAUUGGCUAUUUGAAGAACAUGCUGACUGGGUGGAGGUGAAUACUGCAAUUAAAUUGAUUCCAGGUGUUGUUGAAACUGGUCUGUCUUGAAUUUGGCGAAAGUAGCAUAUUUUGGCAAUGCUGACGGCACAGUAAAAGUACGCAAAGCACCUGGUGUGCAGAAUUGCUGAAAUAUGUAGUCUAUUCUGUCAAACUGAAGCCAGUGGUUCUGAUAAAAAGGAAA